Molecule: ribosomal RNA, 48 nt
Filed under: Miscanthus floridulus
Lineage: Eukaryota; Viridiplantae; Streptophyta; Magnoliopsida; Poales; Poaceae
Description: partial 26S ribosomal RNA
Source: RNAcentral
GGUCAGUCGGGACUACCCGCUGAGUUUAAGCAUAUCAUAGGCGAGGAG